This 5864-nucleotide long non-coding RNA is filed under the name Equus caballus (horse). RNAcentral's name for it is "lncRNA (ENSECAG00000050034.1)". The record is from RNAcentral. Lineage: Eukaryota; Metazoa; Chordata; Mammalia; Perissodactyla; Equidae.
CCCCACUCCCCUACCCCACCCCGAGUCUCCUCUGAGGCUUCCUUGCCCUUGAACCAGCAAGUGGAAGUGUGGCCCAUUUGAAUGGAUGACGGUGAUACGCUGCUGGAAGCGAGGGCGAUGGGUCUGCUCAGCGGUGGGCAAAGCGCUAGGGGUGUUGGAGGACAGGGUUCAAAUGCCCAGCUCAGUUGUGAAAUCUUGGCAAAACUUUGGGCAAGUCACUGGUCUGCUCUGCAGCUCAGCCUCCACAGGGGCAAACAGCAAGAGGCUGGAGAGGCGCUCUGUGGCCCCGCCCCAUCAGGUCAAGGAGCAUGCGCCAACAGCUCCGCAGGGUUGAGCAAGGCGAGGCUCACUCAAUGAAUGAGAGAAGGCAGCCUGGCUCUCAGGGGACUCACAGGCCGUCUGGAUAGGAGCGAAGAGUGUCCACAGUAUGGUGCGACAGAACACAGCACAGGAUCAGGAGCCAUAGUGAGCAGCCAGACACUCCGUGCUCGUGCAGGGGUAGGGGUGGUGGCGGCAGGCUGGAGUCCUCUGCGCCAGCUUCUUGCAAGAGGGUCCGCUUGUGGCCCCACGUAAGUGAGGCUCGUUGGGGAGCAGCCCGGGAGGCAUUCCGGAGGCUGGGGAAGCAGGACAAGCGCCAGCACAGUCUGAGGCAGGACCAGCAUGGCAGUCAGGAACGGCCGUGGGGGGAACUAGGCACACUGGGGGCCAGAGACAGGGGUGGGCACAGAUAAUGGGGUCUUAACGCAGGCUGAGGCCUCUGAGCCGAGAAGUCCAGUUAAGGCAGGAUAGCUAAGGGCUCACAUGAACUCGGCAGCCAGGACACAUGGUCAAGACAGGAAGUAGCUGCAGACCCCUCCUCCUUUUGUCCCCUCUUCCCUGGGCAGCCUCCUGGUGCCUAGUGACAGCUUGGGCUCCAGGCCUCGUGGUCGUUUUCCUCAGAAAGUCCAACUUCCCGUCUCCUCCCUCCUUUUAUCACCCUUCUCCCUUGGGAUCCCCAGGGCUCAGUUCCACCGCAGGACCAGGGCAGGGAGGUCCAGGGACAUGUGGGGUCUUGAGCAGACCAGAGUGUCUGUUCAUUUUAGGGAGGUGGGACAAUCACAUUACCUGAACAGGAUGCUCCGAAGACUGAACACAGCUAGGGAGAGCUAGGUGAUAACCAGCUGGGAAGACCUGCGAUGGGAAUUCAACACCCAGAGGGAUAUGUACAGUUGCACGCCACAUAAUGACCUUUUGGUCAAUGAUGGACCUCAUAUGGGCUGGUGGUCCCAUAAGAUGAGUAUAGCCUGGGUAUGUAGUAGGCUCUACCAUCUAGGUGUGUGUAAGAGUUCUUUUUGAUAUUCUCCCAACGAUGAGAUCACCUAAGGACGCAUUUCUCAGAACGUGGCCCCGUCAUUAAGUGACACAUGGCUGUAUGUGGUCAGAGUGCAGCACGGCAAGCAGACCUCAGAUAAACUAGUCUUUUAAAUGGCAUCAAACCAAGUUAAAAAAAUAUUUUUUUCUUUGUUAGUUAUCAAAGUUUUUAUACAGAUUUUAUAUAAAUAGUCUCUCUACAUUUUUACAUGAACCUUUUAUUUUAGGAUAGUUUUAGAUUUUAGAAAAGUUAUGAAGACAUUGCAGAGUUCCCAGAUACCCCACACCCAGUUUCCCCUAUUAGUAAUCUCUUACAUUAGUAUGGUGCAUUUGUCACAAUUAACAAACCAAUAAUGAUGUAUUAUUAUUGACUGAAGUCCAUACUUCAUUCAUAUUUCCUUAGCUUUCACCUAAUGUCCUUUUUCUGUUCCAGGAUCCCAUCCAGGACACCUCGUUACAUUUAGUCAUCACAUCUCUUUAGGCUCCUCUUGGCUGUGACAGUUUCUCAGUAGUUCCUUAUCUUUGAAGACUUUGACAGCUUUGGGGAGGGCCGGUCAGGGAUUAGUAAUGUCCCUCACUCAAGAGUUGUUUGGUGUUUCUUCUCAUGGGCUUAGGGUUUUGGGGGAGGAAGACCAGAGUGGUCAAGUGUCCUUCUCAUCGCAUCAUGUCAAGGGCACAUGCCAUCAACGUGACUUAUGACUGUUGAUGUUGACCUUGGUCACCAGACUGGUGGGUGGCUGUCAGGUUCUCCACUGUAAAGUGACUCUUUCCCCCCAUCCAUGCUGUCCUCUUUGGAGGAAAGUUACUGUGCACAGCCCACACUGAAGGGGCGGGAGUGACGCUGCCCCUCCGUGAGGGCAGAGAUCUACAUCAACUAUUUGGAAUUCCUCUGCAUGGGAGAUGUGCCUAUUUCCCCCACUAUUUUAUUUAUUCAAUCGUUUAUUAUAUCGGUAUGGAGUCAUGGAUAUUUAUUUUAUACUUUGGGUUUUAAUUCCAUACCACUUAAUUUUCUUGCUCAGGUUGUUCCAAUUUUGGCUGUUUUGUUCCUCCACACAUUUUUACACACACGUUGUUACAAUGAAAGGAUUUGUCAUCUUUUCGCCCACUCAUGUAUUCCUCCACCCGACACUGACUGAGCACCUUUGAGGAGUGAGAACUGAAGAUACAGAGAUGAGGCUGACUCCUCACUCUGCUUUCUCCCCCUAACUGAUCUGCUCCCUCCUGCCUUCCCCUCUGAUACUCCUUGCUCAGUGCUCUCUUUCUCCCAUCCCUCCUGGCCCCACUUUUCCCAGGGACCAUUCUUAUAGCUCCUGGAAUGGAAACUCUGUCCCCCGCUCAAACACUCCCAGGGCGAAAACACAUCAUUGACCCAUCAUGCCUGGGAGUGGGGUCCCUGUCUUGCCUGAGGCCCAGAGGGAGUCAGGUCUCUGGUCAGGCCUUCUUGGCCCUCUGACCAUUCACAGGCAGUGCACAGAGAGAAAGAAAGGAGGAACAGCCUCUUAUUUCCCCACAGUUUCUUCUUGGACAUUCUCCGAGCUUUCCCCAGCAACAAUGAAGGACUGUGAGAGAGGGAAAGGUGUGGAGUGAUGGAGAUGGGGAGAAGUUGGGCAAAGAGAACAACUGAGACAGGGCUGAGGUCUCCAGGCCCAGAGACAGACCCUGCAGCUGGUGGCCCCCCAUGCAGGCCUGGCUGCCCCUCCCUCCCCUCUGCCCACACAGCCCGCCGCUCAGGCCAAUGGCUUCCCCAGUCAAGGUGUUGCUCUUUCUCAGUUCUUCCAACUGAGAGAGGCUGGGAAACUGAGGCAGAAUCAGGCCCAGCUUCUGGUUUUCUCUCCCCAGAGGGCUCCCCUUUUCUCCACUCCUCCAUUGUCAAAAACAGGCUGGGGAUGACAUGGCUUGGGGAGCCCCACACCUGCUCCUGCCACCUGUCCUCCUGGUGCUCCUGGCCUCAGGUGAGAUGGAGGGGGUGAAGGAGAGGGUGGGGCAGGGAGCAGGGUGACUCUGUGACCAGAGGGCUGGCUUUGAAGACCGUGUUCUGGAUGUGGGCAUCAGAAGUUGCUCCCUGUCCCCUUUCCCUGGCCCUGGGAGAGGUGUGGCUGGGUCCGGCCAGGGCCCUGAACUGAGAGCUUGUUAUCCAGGUUCCUGGGGAAAGACAGUCAUGCCUGAAGAGUUUCAUGAAGUGGCGGGGCAGACACUCUCCGUGCAGUGGCAGUACCCUCUCGAGGGAGGGCCCUACAACAGGAGAACUCGGUGUCAGCAGACAUCUUCACAUGAGUGUACCUGAUCAGUCACCAGCUCCAAGCUCCCGACAGCAGCUCAGGACUCUUGACACAUGAUCUGGGAUGCAUUGGGUGCUGGCCUCUUCAUCAUCACCAUGAUUCAGCGGACGGAGGAGGACUUCGGGUCCUAAUGGUCUAGAAGCUACAACUCUUCCAGGAACUUGGUCACUAUUCUCAGAAACAUCAGCCUGGUCUUGUCUCCGGAAGAGCUCCUUUCUUAAGGAAAUGCCCCCUCCCUCCCAGGCCUGCGGGAAAUGUCACUCACCCACUUUGUGUGACUCCAUCACCCCAGAUCCUACCAGGUCUUCUGCUCUGAUCCAAGGGGAGCGGGGGCCCUGGUCUCCAGAGAUGGGCUCUCACCUCUUCUCCACUUUGCCAGUCCUGGCCCCAACUAGUAGGAAGGUAUGCCCGGGGCUCACCAGAGAGGAGUCCCGAGUCUCGCUCUGAUUCUGCCUGUCCCUUGCUUACACACACCCCCCAAUAGCUCUAGUGUGUAGACCUUAGGCACAGGUCACCUCUGGCCUAAGGGGCCCUGAGGGAUUGUCUCUAGGUCCCCCACUUCCCCUCACAGCUUUGAGGCCAGACCCCAUUCUCUCUUCUUGUCCUCUGGACGGUCAUUGUCUACUUUCUUUUCUCUUCAGCCCCAACCACUUUCCUGUGUGGACCCCCACCUCACUCCUACCAAGUACAGGUAGGUCUGGGGUCUCAGUGUGGGGAGGGAAGAAGGGUGGCCAUGCAGCUUGGGUUAACCUCUGAUUCAGGGAUGGGAGCACCGGGGGGCCCGGCUCUGAGGGCUGAGCUCCUGGGGCCUGGGCUGGUGGGAAGCUAUGUUCAGGGCUUACUGGGCUCAAGACCCAGGGAGAUAAAUGUGCACAAUCUGAUCAGAUCACAAAGAUAGCCAUGGAUGGGCUGGGUGUCCCAAGGGGCAUGCCUGUCCUGGAAGACCCUGGACCUGCAUGUCCCAGCUCUGCCCCUCGCUUCCCACCAACUUGGGGAGAAACUGCCCCCCUUAGGGCACAGUACCAGUCUGGACUUCAGCUGGCCUGAGGGACCCUAAGGAGCUGCUCUGUCCCCUCUCCACUUUCUCAAGGGUUUUUGGGGCCAAUCCUAUUCUCUGUUCUGGUCUCCCAGGCAGCCACUGUCUUCUUUGUGUCCUCCUUAGUUCUGAUCAUUUCUCCAGAGGGGACCUCUGGCCCAUCUUCCCUCAAUGGCUCUGAGCACAGGAACAGGAUGAGCACAGGUGGGAAACACACCUACAAGGCAUCCGUCCCAGCUGAGAGAAGAAGGGAACAAUCAAAGACCCUGGAGUCCAUCAUGCCUGAAGGAAACCCCCUGCUUCCUGCCCAUUUUCCCUAUCUACCUGCCUCAAGAAUCUGUAAUUUUUGAAGAUCGUGGUGAGCAGAGCCAGCCCAUUGCUCGAAUUCAAGUCCCCCCUUCUCUCCUGGUUCGGCUGCCCCCAGCUCCCUGGUCACCAUGCUGUGUGGACUCCUCAUGCCCAGGACCUGGUGCUGUCAACCCUGUUUGUGCUCCUGAGCUGCAGGUGCUGGGUCAUUAGGACACUGUGGGGACAGCAGUGAUGCGCCUUUCUGAUCGUGCCCACCCAGCCUGGCCCCGGGACUCUUGGGUGCCUUUAGCCUCAUCCGUGGAUCCGGGAUGAAUACCUGUUCUCCCCCUACCCAGCUAUUGGGAGCCGCCCCUAACCACUGAACACCACAGCCCUGUGAGGAAACACGAGCGCCCAAGCGUGCUGGAGACAACCCCCGGCUCCGAGUUCAGCUGUGGUGACCCUUCACCCUGGUACUGAGCACUCUGCUUCCCCAGCCCUCGCCUCCCCGCAAACUGGGCACCCAUGCGAGGUUUUUUUGCAUCGGUCAACCCUCCCCUUUAUCUGCCAGCUUUCCCUAACUCCGCCCCUGCUCCUUCUCUCCUGGGACUCCUGCUGUCUCUCACCUCCACCUCAGCGGGGCCCCACCUUUUCUCUGUUUCUUGCCUCUGUGCUGCCUGAGCACCCUGUGUGUGUGUGUGUGUUUCCUCUUGCCCUUAAAUUCAAGCCCUUGGAUUGAAACGUGCAAGGGGGAAGCUGAGCAAGAUGGCACGUGGGGGACCUGUCCAGUGGCGCAGCAGUUAAGCUCACGCGCUCUACUUUAGCCCCAUGGUUUCGCAUCCGGAUCCCAGGCAUGGACCUAGGCACCGCUAUGAAGCCAUGCUGUGGCAGGUGUCCCAUGUAUGAAAUAG